UACGUAGGGUGCAAGCGUUAAUCGGAAUUACUGGGCGUAAAGCGUGCGCAGGCGGUUUUGUAAGUCUGAUGUGAAAUCCCCGGGCUCAACCUGGGAAUUGCAUUGGAGACUGCAAGGCUAGAAUCUGGCAGAGGGGGGUAGAAUUCCAGGUGUAGCAGUGAAAUGCGUAGAGAUGUGGAGGAACACCGAUGGCGAAGGCAGCACCCUGGGUCAAGAUUGACGCUCAUGCACGAAAGCGUGGGGAGCAAACAGG
RNAcentral lists this ribosomal RNA (253 nucleotides) under uncultured bacterium. RNAcentral describes it as "partial 16S ribosomal RNA". It matches the Rfam family "Bacterial small subunit ribosomal RNA", at positions 524 to 776 of the family's 1533-position model. The record is from RNAcentral.